RNAcentral lists this long non-coding RNA (711 nucleotides) under Gadus morhua (Atlantic cod). RNAcentral's name for it is "lncRNA (ENSGMOG00000026110.1)". The record is from RNAcentral. Lineage: Eukaryota; Metazoa; Chordata; Actinopteri; Gadiformes; Gadidae.
AUGGGUAGCAGUCUGAGUCUGAGCAGAAGUAAAAAGAUCGCACCUGUGUGUGUGGUCGAAAUAAACGUUUCCAAAAGAGAAACCGAGUCGCCGGAGGAAACAGUCGCCCCUGCUCCGAGAUCUCCCGGGGAUGUGAGGAAUUCUUUCAGGCGAUUUAAAUUCCCAAACUUUACAAACGGUAGCAACUUUUCCAAAGUGGACUGUAGAAGACGCGGAUCGCCUCGAUCCACCGAGAAGGAUGAUGAACAUCGAGGGAAACCGGAGCGAACUCCUGCUGCUUGUGAUGAUGAGCAUGGGAAUAUUUCUAAAACCAAGAAUGGACAUAAUAAGAAGUCUUUCGUCAGAUCCAGGACGUACGGCCUGUGCACUUUUAAACGAGUCAGCUCCAACACGGAGUUAAACCCCACGACGACUCCAUCGCAAGCGUUCACUUCCAGCAAUGAGUCGCGUCGCCAAGAAUGUGGUUGGGAAGACGUAAACAAGAAUGGGAACAGUGUGUUCAGCCACGUGAGGAAACACGCACCAGCCGCAGGCUCCGACCACGAGCACAGAGGCUUGGGUCCAAGUCGUUCUUGUGUGGAACAAGUUCUCAAAACAGGAAACGACUCAUCUUUUGCCAACUGCCUGAACACCCCAGUGACCACGCCCGUCAUUCUGUAUGAUGGCUCUGAGGAGGAGCUGAUGGAUACUAUCGAGAGGGAAUUCAGCUGA